GACGAACGCUGGCGGCGUGCCUAAUACAUGCAAGUAGAACGCUGAAGGAGGAGCUUGCUUCUCUGGAUGAGUUGCGAACGGGUGAGUAACGCGUAGGUAACCUGCCUGGUAGCGGGGGAUAACUAUUGGAAACGAUAGCUAAUACCGCAUAAUAGUAGAUGUCGCAUGACAUUUGCUUAAAAGGUGCAAUUGCAUCACUACCAGAUGGACCUGCGUUGUAUUAGCUAGUUGGUGAGGUAACGGCUCACCAAGGCAACGAUACAUAGCCGAACUGAGAGGGGGAUCGGCCACACUGGGACUGAGACACGGCCCAGACUCCUACGGGAGGCAGCAGUAGGGAAUCUUCGGCAAUGGACGGAAGUCUGACCGAGCGACGCCGCGUGAGUGAAGAAGGUUUUCGGAUCGUAAAGCUCUGUUGUAAGAGAAGAACGAGUGUGAGAGUGGAAAGUGCACACUGGGACGGUAUCUUACCAGAAAGGGACGGCUAACUACGU
RNAcentral lists this ribosomal RNA (494 nucleotides) under uncultured bacterium. Its description in RNAcentral is "partial 16S ribosomal RNA". It matches the Rfam family "Bacterial small subunit ribosomal RNA", at positions 28 to 506 of the family's 1533-position model. The record is from RNAcentral.